Molecule: non-coding RNA, 95 nt
Filed under: Gracilibacillus halophilus
Lineage: Bacteria; Bacillati; Bacillota; Bacilli; Caryophanales; Bacillaceae
Also listed under: 1 other name
Description: c-di-GMP sequence
Rfam family: c-di-GMP-I-GGC riboswitch aptamer
Source: RNAcentral
UCAGAAAAAGGCAAACCUAUUGAAAGAUAGGGACGCAAAGUUACAGAUCCGUAAUGACUCUUAUUUUGAGUGAUUGGAUGGCUGAACUGCCUGAA